Molecule: ribosomal RNA, 749 nt
Filed under: Enterococcus sp. HPCAQF15
Lineage: Bacteria; Bacillati; Bacillota; Bacilli; Lactobacillales; Enterococcaceae
Description: bacterial SSU rRNA
Rfam family: Bacterial small subunit ribosomal RNA
Source: RNAcentral
GCAAGUCGAGCGGACAGAUGGGAGCUUGCUCCCUGAUGUCAGCGGCGGACGGGUGAGUAACACGUGGGUAACCUGCCUGUAAGACUGGGAUAACUCCGGGAAACCGGGGCUAAUACCGGAUGCUUGAUUGAACCGCAUGGUUCAAUUAUAAAAGGUGGCUUUUAGCUACCACUUACAGAUGGACCCGCGGCGCAUUACCUAGUUGGUGAGGUAACGGCUCACCAAGGCAACAAUGCGUAGCCAACCUGAAAGGGUGAUCGGCCACACUGGGACUGAAACACGGCCCAAACUCCUACGGGAGGCAGCAGUAGGGAAUCUUCCGCAAUGGACAAAAGUCUGACGGAGCAACGCCGCGUGAGUGAUGAAGGUUUUCGGAUCGUAAAACUCUGUUGUUAGGGAAAAACAAGUACCGUUCGAAUAGGGCGGUACCUUGACGGUACCUAACCAAAAAGCCACGGCUAACUACGUGCCAGCAGCCGCGGUAAUACGUAGGUGGCAAGCGUUGUCCGGAAUUAUUGGGCGUAAAGCGCGCGCAGGCGGUUUCUUAAGUCUGAUGUGAAAGCCCCCGGCUCAACCGGGGAGGGUCAUUGGAAACUGGGGAACUUGAGUGCAGAAAAGGAGAGUGGAAUUCCACGUGUAGCGGUGAAAUGCGUAAAGAUGUGGAGGAACACCAGUGGCGAAGGCGACUCUCUGGUCUGUAACUGACGCUGAGGCGCGAAAGCGUGGGGAGCGAACAGGAUUAGAUACCC